GCCCGUAUAGCUCAGUGGUAGAGCGCAUCACUCGUAUUUCAUGUGAAAUGAUGAGGUCCGCGGUUCAAUCCCGCGUGGGGGCA
Non-coding RNA from Podospora fimiseda, 83 nucleotides. Lineage: Eukaryota; Fungi; Ascomycota; Sordariomycetes; Sordariales; Podosporaceae. The record is from the annotation of a GenBank genome assembly.